RNAcentral lists this ribosomal RNA (494 nucleotides) under uncultured bacterium. RNAcentral describes it as "partial 16S ribosomal RNA". It matches the Rfam family "Bacterial small subunit ribosomal RNA", at positions 30 to 507 of the family's 1533-position model. The record is from RNAcentral.
AUUGAACGCUGGCGGCAUGCUUUACACAUGCAAGUCGAACGGCAGCGGGGAGGAGCUUGCUUCUCUGCCGGCGAGUGGCGCACGGGUGAGUAAUACAUCGGAACGUGUCGAGAAGAGGGGGAUAACCACCCGAAAGGGUGGCUAAUACCGCAUAAAUUCUGAGGAAGAAAGCUGGGGACCUAGGAAUAGGCCUAGCGCUUUUUGAGCGGCCGAUGUCGGAUUAGCUAGUUGGUGAGGUAAAGGCUCACCAAGGCGAAGAUCUGUAGCGAGUCUGAGAGGAUGAUCCGCCACACUGGGACUGAGACACGGCCCAGACUCCUACGGGAGGCAGCAGUGGGGAAUUUUGGACAAUGGGGGCAACCCUGAUCCAGCCAUGCCGCGUGUAUGAAGAAGGCCUUAGGGUUGUAAAGUACUUUUGUUAGGGAAGAAAAGUCAGCUGUGAAUAAUGGCUGAUACUGACGGUACCUAAAGAAUAAGCACCGGCUAACUACGUG